CAUUAUGUAUUUUCCUUUUGGAACUGAAAACAUGGUCAAUUAGUGAAACCCAUAUCGAGCCCGGUCCCCGACGAGUGGUACCCAACCCUAGCCAUCUUCAUGCUCGCGAUCGGCUGCAUCGUCACCACUUCUUUCUUCAGAUGGUAUAUUUGGGGAUUAAGCUUCUACGGGCCGGAAGCUCUAACGAGCCAACUACACCCAAUGAUGUUGGGACCCAAUAACAUUGGGAGCCUCCAACCUCACCCAGUCUCCACUCCCAGUAUUUGAGACUUGGUAAAAAGACAUGUUGGUGUUCGUGGUGGUGAUUGGCAGGCAGUAAGACUUGGUAAUAUAAAGGGGGUUUUUUUUAACGGAAGACUUUUUAGCCGACAGUGAUAUUUUUGUUCCCCCAUAAUGGCCAGUUUCGAAGAACCAUUCAAACAUAAACUUCAGGUAGCAUUAUUUGUUGUUUUCUACAUUUACAUUUCUGGAUAUUUGUCAGCUUUGAAUAUUAGAUUCACUCUACUCCAGCUAUAGCAUUGCUGCUUAUUUGGCUGCGAUUCAAGUUGUGUUUUUUGAUGAGAAGUCAGGUUAAAUGAAGAACGUGGUUAUUAGUAGAGAAGAGUAGUCCUUUUUUUUUUUUUUGGAAAGGCAAGAGUAGUCCUUUAUGUACAUAAUUCAAAUAAAUGGACCCUGUUUGAAGUUUAUUUGAGACACAGCCUGAAGGCGUGACGAAACAUGUCUUAUGGGAGAUUUUGUGUUCAUUGGUAAAAAGGGCAAUUCAAUUUUUGUUUCAACACAUGUUUUGUCGCACCUUCAGGCACGGGCAAUAUCAAAACCCUCCAAAUCUCAUUUGAAUUUUCAAUACUGUAUUGAGAAACUAUAUUACGGAAAUUGUGAUGAUUCAUUGAAAGUUUUCACUCCAUGAU
Rhododendron vialii is the source of this 908-nucleotide long non-coding RNA. RefSeq lists it as uncharacterized. NCBI's taxonomy places the organism in Eukaryota, Viridiplantae, Streptophyta, Magnoliopsida, Ericales, Ericaceae. The record is from RefSeq and is a predicted model, not a curated record. The transcript is spliced from 3 exons.